GAUCAACGCUGGCGGCGUUCCUCAUACAUGCAAGUCGAGCGAACAGACGUGGAGCUUGUUCCACAGACGUUAGCGGCGGACGGGUGAGUAACACGUGGAUACCCUACCUCUAAGACUGGGAUAACUUCGAGAAACCGGGGCUAAUACCGGAUAAUAUAUUUAACCGCAUGGUUCAAUAGUGAAAGGAGGCUUUGCUGUCAAUCAUAGAUGUAUCCGCGCCGCAUUAGAUAGUUGGGAAGGUAACGGCUUACCAAGGCGACGAUGCGUAGCCGACCUGAGAGGGUGAGCGGCCACGCUGGGACUGAGACACCGUCCAGACCUCUAAUAGAGGCAGCAGUGGGCAAGCUACAGGAAUGGGCGCAAGCCUGACUCAUCAACCCCGCGCGAGUGAUGAAGGUCCUCGUGUCGGAUAGCUGUGUUAUUGGGGACGAUCAACUGUGUAACUUGCGUUGCGCGUCUUGACGGUGCCUGAUCAGACAGGCACGGGUAACUACGUG
RNAcentral lists this ribosomal RNA (497 nucleotides) under uncultured bacterium. Its description in RNAcentral is "partial 16S ribosomal RNA". It matches the Rfam family "Bacterial small subunit ribosomal RNA", at positions 28 to 507 of the family's 1533-position model. The record is from RNAcentral.